AGGACGAACGCUGGCGGCGUGCUUAACACAUGCAAGUCGAACGGUGACAUCAGAGCUUGCUCUGGUUGAUCAGUGGCGAACGGGUGAGUAACACGUGAGUAACCUGCCCUUGACUCUGGGAUAACUCCGGGAAACCGGGGCUAAUACCGGAUACGAGACGCGACCGCAUGGUCGGCGUCUGGAAAGUUUUUCGGUCAAGGAUGGACUCGCGGCCUAUCAGCUUGUUGGUGAGGUAAUGGCUCACCAAGGCGUCGACGGGUAGCCGGCCUGAGAGGGCGACCGGCCACACUGGGACUGAGACACGGCCCAGACUCCUACGGGAGGCAGCAGUGGGGAAUAUUGCACAAUGGGCGAAAGCCUGAUGCAGCGACGCCGCGUGAGGGAUGAAGGCCUUCGGGUUGUAAACCUCUUUCAGUAGGGAAGAAGCGUAAGUGACGGUACCUGCAGAAGAAGCGCCGGCUAACUACGUGCCAGCAGCCGCGGUAAUACGUAGGGCGCAAGCGUUGUCCGGAAUUAUUGGGCGUAAAGAGCUCGUAGGCGGUUUGUCGCGUCUGGUGUGAAAACUCAAGGCUCAACCUUGAGCUUGCAUCGGGUACGGGCAGACUAGAGUGUGGUAGGGGUGACUGGAAUUCCUGGUGUAGCGGUGGAAUGCGCAGAUAUCAGGAGGAACACCGAUGGCGAAGGCAGGUCACUGGGCCACUACUGACGCUGAGGAGCGAAAGCAUGGGGAGCGAACAGGAUUAGAUACCCUGGUAGUCCAUGCCGUAA
Molecule: ribosomal RNA, 768 nt
Filed under: uncultured organism
Description: SSU rRNA
Rfam family: Bacterial small subunit ribosomal RNA
Source: RNAcentral